UGGCUAAUGAUGAUAUGACCACUGUACAGUGUGAGAUCUGGAAACUAGGUGAUGGAAUGUGUUCUGAAAACAGACAGGCCA
Jaculus jaculus (lesser Egyptian jerboa) is the source of this 81-nucleotide non-coding RNA. RefSeq annotates it as small Cajal body-specific RNA 18. Lineage: Eukaryota; Metazoa; Chordata; Mammalia; Rodentia; Dipodidae. The record is from RefSeq and is a predicted model, not a curated record. The transcript has a single exon.